This 253-nucleotide ribosomal RNA is filed under the name uncultured bacterium. RNAcentral's name for it is "partial 16S ribosomal RNA". It matches the Rfam family "Bacterial small subunit ribosomal RNA", at positions 524 to 776 of the family's 1533-position model. The record is from RNAcentral.
UACAGAGGGUGCGAGCGUUAAUCGGAAUUACUGGGCGUAAAGCGUGCGUAGGUGGUUUGAUAAGUCAGAUGUGAAAGCCCCGGGCUUAACCUGGGAACUGCAUUUGAAACUAUUAGGCUAGAGUACGGUAGAGGGAAGUGGAAUUUCCGGUGUAGCGGUGAAAUGCGUAGAUAUCGGAAGGAACAUCAGUGGCGAAGGCGACUUCCUGGACCGCAACUGACACUGAGGCACGAAAGCGUGGGGAGCAAACAGG